GACGUAGGGGGCGAGCGUUGUCCGGAUUUAUUGGGCGUAAAGAGCGCGUAGGCGGCUCGUUAAGUCGGGUGUGAAAACCCGGGGCUCAACCCCGGACCUGCAUCCGAUACUGGCGGGCUCGAGGCAGGUAGGGGAGAGUGGAAUUCCUGGUGUAGCGGUGAAAUGCGCAGAUAUCAGGAGGAACACCGGUGGCGAAGGCGGCUCUCUGGACCUGUCCUGACGCUCAGGCGCGAAAGCUAGGGGAGCAAACAGG
Molecule: ribosomal RNA, 253 nt
Filed under: uncultured bacterium
Lineage: Bacteria
Description: partial 16S ribosomal RNA
Rfam family: Bacterial small subunit ribosomal RNA
Source: RNAcentral